GAUACCUUUAUUAAGUUUAGUAAUACCUUUUCUCAAUUCAGAACUCACAUACUAAGUAUGUAAUGACAAGUAUUGCCCUGCCAUGUUCCAUCUACUAUAGUUUUACUUUCUCUAACCAUUUUUAUUAUAUAUUCUUUCAGCAUUUCUUUAUAAAAAUAAAAGCAGAUGUUAAUUUUUUUUUUACUUUUUUGUUUUCUUACAUACAACAGUAUAUAGAAAAUACUUUGUACUUUGCUUUUUUUCACUUUAUAUGUUUUAGUUACCUUUCUGUGGCAGUAUGUAGAGAGCAUUCUCAUUCCUUUUCACAGUUGCAUUGUAUUCCAUUGUGCGGAUAUGCCGAAAUAUAUUUAACUUGAUGGUUACUGAACAUCGGAGUUUUCACUUGUUGCUAACCAUCCUUCAGUGAAAAAUAUAUUUUUUAAAGAUUUUAUUUAUUUAUUUGACAGGGAGAGAGAUCGCAAGUAGGUGGAGAG
Molecule: long non-coding RNA, 473 nt
Organism: Mustela erminea (ermine)
Lineage: Eukaryota; Metazoa; Chordata; Mammalia; Carnivora; Mustelidae
Exons: 4
Source: RefSeq, a predicted model, not a curated record